GGGGUUGUGGCUCAGUGGUAGAGCACUUGCCUAGCAAUAAAUAAAAUAAAGGUCCAUUGACAACAAAAUAUUAAAAAAUAAAAAUAAAAAAAGAUUGCUGUGCGAGGCCAGGUGCGAUAGUGCAUGCCUGUAAUCCCA
RNAcentral lists this transfer RNA (138 nucleotides) under Marmota monax (woodchuck). RNAcentral describes it as "tRNA.Ala". Lineage: Eukaryota; Metazoa; Chordata; Mammalia; Rodentia; Sciuridae. The record is from RNAcentral.